Molecule: long non-coding RNA, 2235 nt
Organism: Perca flavescens (yellow perch)
Lineage: Eukaryota; Metazoa; Chordata; Actinopteri; Perciformes; Percidae
Exons: 3
Source: RefSeq, a predicted model, not a curated record
UUUUGGCAGACCAGACAUGAGCCGAGUCCACACUACGUUAAACUUACGGACAUGUGGGAGCAGCCGUUAGCAUUUAGCAUUAGCGGCUUGGUUAUUUUGGCUUGACCUACAGAAAACGAUCCAGAGACUUUUAAAAUCAAGCUUUUCUAGCGUUGGAUAGAUAGGUUACCAAGUGGUUUAAACUACGUAGCUUCUUAGCUAUCGUACAAUAACGUUACAGCAUAUAUCCUAGACGAAGUCACGUUAGCUAACGUUAUAGCUAACCUUUUGGAGCUGAUGCCCACGUUGACCAAGGGAAAGCAACUUCCCAGCUGUGAAUCUACAGAAGUCAGGCUAAGAAAUGCGAUGAUAGACACGGUAAUUUCUUCUACCUUGAAGAACAAUAUCGAAGAAAAAAAACAGGCUGUUCGUGGCUCCAAGAUGUAAAAGUACUGGUUGGCAGUAAAGUGAUUCAGAAGUGAUUGCCUGCCUGUCGCUGCAGACAGUGCGUGUUGGUGUUAUGUACUAGCAGCAGCGUCACAUCCCCUCUCCUCCUCACAGAGGCGUGUUUAACCCAUUGACAUAUGGUUUAACCUACUGCAUUUUUGCUGCUGGUGUCAUCCAUGGUUUGUGUAAUCAAGAUCCACUGGUUAACGGUGGAACAAAAAAGCAACUCACCUCUCUGGGCCUAGACCAGCCUGGAUGCGUGUGGCACUGUAUCUCUGAGCUGCAGUUUCAUGUCCAUGGCCAUGAUGUGAGGUUUGCCGAACAUAAUGUUGCCCUUCCUGGGAUGAAAAUUCGGUAUCUGGGGGCUGAGUGUCUCCUACGAUUCUUCGAUAAUCCACCUGCUGGCUCUCCCUCGCUGCAUCUGCAAAGUGCUUAAAACCAUACCCCUCCAUUGUCCGUCCAAGACCAGAAAUGGAGCUGCAUUGGUGUUCCCACACAGAGGAAAAAAGACCUGUGUCAGGCUACUCCGUCUGCCCCUGCACAGGAUGCACCUGCCUACAAAAAGGCACCAGCCACCUCUAGGCGUGUCGAUAAAGGGCGUCACCUAGGAGAUUCUCCCACUGAGAGGGUGUCACCGUGGAAAUGAUGCCAGCAGAAGAGUGUUGUUGUGGAGAGGCUGUUGUGCUGAUGUCUUCGAAAUCUUGGAGAAGAUUUUCUGUCAUAUAGGCAGAGGGUAAUGGAGAGGGUAGAUGAGCCCUGUACUGUACUUAUAUGUAGGAUAAAGCACUCAUUGCCCUGAGCGUUUCCUUUACACGGUGAAUGGAGUGAGUGCUACUGUCCUGCUGAGUGCUCUAUCAAGCUCUCUGUCCGGCUCCCUCUCCAUGUAUGGGUUAAUCCUGCUUUCUAUCGGUGGCACCACGUCACUUUCACAAAGAGGAUUUCAGAAUUAAAAUGAACAGGACUAGAGAUGAGCUUUGCAAAGAAAGCAGCACAUUUUUGCAGCGCAAACGGCAAGAUCAUCACUAUGGUGUGUUCUUUUUAUUUUGUCUUGCUCCACUAAAACCAAAUACAUACAACGCAUAUCAUUUCUGGAAAUAUUUGGCACCAAGGAGUGUUUUUUCUUUUAACGACUCCGGACUUGAAUGAUAAAUUUAGCUUCUCACACCAGGACCCACAGGUAUUAUUUCGUAAUGCUUCUUAUGCUUACGUCCAGGCCUCGUGGAAAAUGUGGGUUUCCAAUCCAUUGCUAAGUAAAACUGCAGCUAAAAUGAGUCUGUAUAUAAAUAAGCUCUGGUGUAACCACUCCACAUCCUAAAAAAAGCAGAGGUUAGACUCACAAGCUGACACAACAUGUACUUGUACCUUGACUCUGCCGAGUGAAGCUUGCACCUAAGUGCCAGUGUUACAUAAUCACUCUAAAAAAUUUUGUUUUUUGUUAUUGAGUGUUUCUGACAUCAGAAAAGGGUGUAAACUCAUGCCUUUGGUGGGAUGUGCAUACAGUAUGCAAAGUACAGAAUGUAUGUGUUGUGUUAUCCGUUGGUUUUUUUGUGCCUUUUUUUGUUAAACUUGUGUAGAAAUUUAGCCAGGGGAAAUGUUUCCCCUCCACACAGACACACAAGUGGGCCGUUACUCUUCUCAAAGGGAUCACCUCCAGGUGACUGACUGUUUGUGACAGUUGGUGAGACGUUAAGAUGGAAAAUCCUCUUAAGCCCGUCCUCUGAGGUUCCCCACUUACAACUCCCAUUUAUCUUCAACACAUGGCAACGGAAACCCCUUCCCCCCCACACAAUGAAGAUAACAAAUUAGAAA